Long non-coding RNA from Cucumis melo (muskmelon), 1626 nucleotides. RefSeq lists it as uncharacterized. The transcript is spliced from 6 exons. The record is from RefSeq and is a predicted model, not a curated record. NCBI's taxonomy places the organism in Eukaryota, Viridiplantae, Streptophyta, Magnoliopsida, Cucurbitales, Cucurbitaceae.
UAGAGAUAUGAUGGAAGAGAACUUUAUUCUUUCGCUUUUAGUUCCCGCCUCAUGCACUAAGAUAACUAUCUUCUAUUAAAAACUAGAUUCUAAUACGUAAAAGAGAUUCCCACAAACCCCAUUUCGGAGCCAUAGUAAGUAGUGGGCAUAUUGGUCUCUCAAUCCAAGGAAGAGAAAAGGGUAGCACAGUUGUUGAUUCUAAAAUUUUUAACCCUUCGGAAUUCGACUUUUACCUUUUCAGUCAUGCUGGAAUUCAGGUACAAGUCGUCCUGCCCAUUACCAUGUUUUAUGAGAUGAGAACAAGUUCACUGUUGAUGAAUUGCCGACCCUAACGAAUAAUCUUUGUUACACAUAUGUUAGGUGUACUCGGUCCGUUUCUAUCCGUUUCUAUCGGUUCAUGGUUUGUUAAAUUGGUAUAACCUUCUACAGUGCCCCCAGCGUACUACGUCUUGCUGCUUCUGAGCUCGUUUUUAGAUGGAACCUGAAACCUCUGAUAGUGGGUCAAUUAGCAAUGAUGCUACUGCUAGAUGUAGUGGCGUUGGUGGUGCUUGCAGUACAUGGGCACUAGGGUUUAAUGCUGUUGUUUGACCUUUGCCAGCUCUGAAAGAGAAUGUUAAGAGGACUAUGUUCUAUUGUUGAUGACUUGUUUUAAUUUAUUACCACUAGUUUCUCUCCCAAGUCUCGAAGUGUGUUGUUUAUUUCUUCCCGGAGCUUUGGUUUGAAGUAAUCUUGCUCUUGCGAAGGUAGAUAUCUCUAGGCUUCCCUUUUCAUCAGGAUCAGUAGAUGUUGUUCAUGCUGGAGCAACAUUGCAUUGUUGGCCAUCUCCUUCCAAUGUUGUGAGCAUUGUCUUGUAUAACAUAUUCUAUUAUUUGAUUUCCUACCAGGAAAACAUAUUCGAAUUCAUCCCAUCAUUUCUUGUAGUGAAAUUAAAUAAAUAAAACGAUCAUAGUAUAUUACUACAUGUUUCAAGGUGAUCUCUAACAUUUUCAACUUUUACGUGCUGUCAUAUCACAACACGUGGAUAUCACUCUCUAUCUCAACAUUCGACGGACAACAAUGGCUAGAUUGAUGAGUUUAACGGCGUUGUGACCCAACAUUCGAACGAACGACAAUGGCUAGAUUGGUGGGUUCGAUGGCAUUGGCUUAUUGUCGCAUUUCGACGAUGGUGGUUAGAGCACUAUUUCGACUCUGAUGGGUGGAGGAAAAUUGAACGAAAGGGAUUUUUAGCGUUACGCGGCUAGUGGGUUCAACAAUUGAUUUUAAUUGCGUGAGUGGGGGAAUUCAAAAAUAUUGGAAUUUGGGAUUUCUUUAGUUGGAAAUUUGUUUAAUGACACAAAAAAUUUGUUAUUAAUUAACGAUGCAAAAUUUGUGUCAAGAAAAAUUAUAUAACAAUGUUUUGAUUAAUAGUGUCAUUAAAACCCAUUUUUCUAGUAGUGUUGCAACAAAAAAAGGUUCAUAUUGUAUCUUAUACAUGUAAAUUUUGUUGAUAUUGGAUAUAGGUGAAUCUCAAUAUUGAUAUGAUACACCUUUGCACUGCACAUAUAUUUUGUUUAUAUUAGACAUAGAUGGAAAGUUUAGGCUAUUGUUAGAAGUUUGGGCUGCACAUAUAUGUUGUAAUUAAGUAUG